RNAcentral lists this ribosomal RNA (404 nucleotides) under uncultured bacterium. RNAcentral's name for it is "bacterial SSU rRNA". It matches the Rfam family "Bacterial small subunit ribosomal RNA", at positions 355 to 776 of the family's 1533-position model. The record is from RNAcentral.
UGAGGAAUUUUCCGCAAUGGACGAAAGUCUGACGGAGCGACGCCGUGUGUGCGAUGAAGUCUUUCGGGAUGUAAAGCACUGUCGAGGGGGACGAUAUUGACGGUACCCCUGGAGGAAGCCCCGGCUAACUACGUGCCAGCAGCCGCGGUAAUACGUAGGGGGCGAGCGUUAUCCGGAAUUACUGGGCGUAAAGGGCGUGUAGGCGGUUCCGUAAGUUGGGUGUUAAAGGUAUGGGCUCAACUCAUACAUUGCGCUCAAUACUGCGGUUCUGGAGAAUGGUAGAGGAAAACGGAACUUCCGGUGUAGCGGUGAAAUGCGUAGAUAUCGGAAGGAACACCAGUGGCGAAGGCGGUUUUCUGGGCCAUUUCUGACGCUGAGGCGCGAAAGCUAGGGGAGCAAACAGG